GUUAUGACCGGUACAACGUACCAACGGAGGAGGCCCAAUGGGCAGGGUUAAUUACGGGCUUAGCCCAAGUUAUCUUACCUAUCUUAGAAGUCCAAGUUAUAUUAGAGUCCAAGUUAGAGUCCAAGUUAUCUAGGGUUUAGUGGAGGCUGUCCUCCUUUAUAAACACAUGUACCCCUUCGAUAUUAAUCAGACAAUAAACAGUAUAUUCUGUUGUCGUCUCCCUCAGGAGACGAGAGCCUCAAACCCUAGCCGCCUCUCUCUCUCUCUCUCUCUCUCACGCCGCGACGGCGCCCAACCGCCGGCGCCGGCGUCCCCAACCUCGCAGCCCGCACUUCCACCCCUACAACCU
This 349-nucleotide long non-coding RNA is filed under the name Hordeum vulgare. RNAcentral describes it as "long non-coding RNA (HVUL_LNC013363)". The record is from RNAcentral. Lineage: Eukaryota; Viridiplantae; Streptophyta; Magnoliopsida; Poales; Poaceae.